GGGGCUAUAGCUCAGUUUGGUAGAGCAUCUGCUUUGCACGCAGAGGGUCAGCGGUUCGAUCCCGCUUAGCUCCA
This 74-nucleotide transfer RNA is filed under the name Enterobacteriaceae endosymbiont of Donacia fulgens. RNAcentral's name for it is "tRNA-Ala". It matches the Rfam family "tRNA". Rfam says of the family: Transfer RNA (tRNA) molecules are approximately 80 nucleotides in length. Their secondary structure includes four short double-helical elements and three loops (D, anti-codon, and T loops). Lineage: Bacteria; Pseudomonadati; Pseudomonadota; Gammaproteobacteria; Enterobacterales; Enterobacteriaceae. RNAcentral also lists the same sequence under 1 other name. The record is from RNAcentral.